AAUACAAGAUUGCUCAACCGUCAACAGAUUGAUGAUUGGCUUUUGGGACAUAUUUUUCAAUAACUCCCACUUGUCCUAAAGCCACUCGGCACAGUAUCUAAUACUCAUCUUUGACUUUUGGUUAUCGAACUCCUUUAUCGCCAGGGCUAUAGUGAAGGGGUCGGUCAAGUUCUCCUUUCCAUCGAUCUUCUGAAGGUCGAUGUCACCUCGAUCCACGAUCUCCGGGACA
RNAcentral lists this long non-coding RNA (229 nucleotides) under Elaeis guineensis (African oil palm). Its description in RNAcentral is "long non-coding RNA (EGUI_LNC059158)". The record is from RNAcentral. Lineage: Eukaryota; Viridiplantae; Streptophyta; Magnoliopsida; Arecales; Arecaceae.